This 158-nucleotide ribosomal RNA is filed under the name Hypocrella mollii. Its description in RNAcentral is "5.8S ribosomal RNA". It matches the Rfam family "5.8S ribosomal RNA". Rfam says of the family: 5.8S ribosomal RNA (5.8S rRNA) is a component of the large subunit of the eukaryotic ribosome. It is transcribed by RNA polymerase I as part of the 45S precursor that also contains 18S and 28S rRNA. The record is from RNAcentral. Lineage: Eukaryota; Fungi; Ascomycota; Sordariomycetes; Hypocreales; Clavicipitaceae.
AAACUUUCAACAACGGAUCUCUUGGUUCUGGCAUCGAUGAAGAACGCAGCGAAAUGCGAUAAGUAAUGUGAAUUGCAGAAUCCAGUGAAUCAUCGAAUCUUUGAACGCACAUUGCGCCCGCCAGCAUUCUGGCGGGCAUGCCUGUUCGAGCGUCAUUU